UACUUUCUGGGAGAUGUGUGUGGGGGUUACAGAGCUAAGUAGGCACUCUCUUGGAGGAGGGAAUUUGGGUUAGUAAACCCAAAGAGGAUGGGAGGACAGAAAAUAGAGCAGAGAAUUAGCAAGGAGUCUAGGGAAAUAACAAUAGGGUCUGGGAGCAAGCAGAUUAUAGUUGCUGGACAUAGGGUCUCUGGAUGGGAACCCUGAGUAGUAGGGGAACCUGGGCUCACCCAUCAGCUGCUGGGAAAGGGGUAUAGGACUUGGUCUUGGGUGAGGAGUGGAUGAAGAUAGCUGAUCCAGUGGAACUUUGAUAGCCUGGAAGGACUGUACAGUUACCUGUCUGGAGGGCUAAGUCACAAAGAAAAAAUAUGUAAAGUCCCAAAGACCAAGUUGGUGCCUAGUGAAAAUGAGAAGACAGAUGGGGGUGUCAGCCCUGGAUCGAGCUAAUCUCGAGAGUAGUUGGAAGGAGAUGCUGCCCUAGCAGUGAGUGGACCUGUGAUAGGGACCUUCUGUCUCUUGUUUUUAACAUGGCUGCUGACACCAUCUGAGAUACUGGAGCAACCAAUCCCUUCCUGAUAUAAAUGGAGGCAGGUGCUGCUAGAGGAGCAUCCUGGUGAGGAGCUGACUUUCCUCUCUGGUUCACCAUAGUCUUAAUUUCAGGAUACAGUACAAAACCAACCCAUUUUCUCAACAUUGCUGUGAGGAAAAUUGGUAUAUUGUCUGGAGGGCUAAGUGGUAAUUAUGGGACAGGAAUCCAGGAGAGGGAUGAUUUUGGGAUGAUCAGCUGAUGAUUGAGGGCCUCAGUAUGUGGGAAAUCCUUAUGGGAAUAGGAAUAUGAAGUAUGAAGGUCUCUUUUCUGCAAUUACCAGUGAAGUACAGAGCAAAGCUGUUUCCUCUGUUCAUGAAACUGAAAUAACCUGAUGAGAGAAAUAGUCUUGAAGACUUCACUUAUUUGGAAUUUUGUGCUCCAUCCAAAAUGGCCAGAGGAGGAGGUUUCUACCUUAUAACACCACGUGCCGCAUCCAACAAGCCAUCUCCAACAGGUGCUGCUCCUUCACACACACUGCACCUUGGCGUGCGGCAGCUCAGGAGCUGAUCACAGGCCCAGGAUUGAUACACGGCGAAAGUUUGACUCUCCUCGAAAGCACUUUAUGCUUAUCUGCCUUGAUCUCCGAGCUGCGGGGUGGCUUCUUCCACUGCUAUUUUUGUUGAAUGUUUUUUUCUGAAAUACCAGUGAAUAGUUCCACUAAACUUAAAUAAAGAUAUUUGCUAUUAAAAAAAAAACAACUUUACAACAGGGGUCUCUCACCUCUCAGUGGGGUGCUCUAACAACUGAGCUAUUGGAUAUUCUGAUAUUCUCUCCUGAAGCUGUUCCACUUCGGAUAAAUAAUGAGUGAUUGGGGUAGGGAAACUGGACCAAGAGUCUCCCAUCUCUCAGGUGGGUGCCCUAACCACUGGACUACAGUCAUUCUCACUUUCUCUCUUUGGCCCAGAGACUUGGGUGCCUGUAUCUGGGGUUUAAGUGCCUAAAUACUUCUGUGGAUCUAGGUAAAAUUGUUUACUUAGCAAAUGAAUGUAUGAUAAAAUCUGAAGACUCUCACAGCUGGCUUUAAAUGAA
This is a long non-coding RNA of Mauremys reevesii (Reeves's turtle), 1615 nucleotides long. RefSeq lists it as uncharacterized. NCBI's taxonomy places the organism in Eukaryota, Metazoa, Chordata, Testudines, Geoemydidae. The transcript has 3 exons. The record is from RefSeq and is a predicted model, not a curated record.